GUGCCAGCAGCCGCGGUAAUACGUAGGUGGCAAGCGUUGUCCGGAAUUAUUGGGCGUAAAGCGCGCGCAGGCGGCCUUUUAAGUCUGAUGUGAAAGCCCCCGGCUCAACCGGGGAGGGCCAUUGGAAACUGGAAGGCUUGAGUACAGAAGAGAAGAGUGGAAUUCCACGUGUAGCGGUGAAAUGCGUAGAGAUGUGGAGGAACACCAGUGGCGAAGGCGACUCUUUGGUCUGUAACUGACGCUGAGGCGCGAAAGCGUGGGGAGCAAACAGGAUUAGAUACCCUGGUAGUCCACGCCGUAAACGAUGAGUGCUAGGUGUUGGGGGGUUUCCGCCCCUCAGUGCUGAAGCUAACGCAUUAAGCACUCCGCCUGGGGAGUACGGCCGCAGGGCUGGAACUCAAAGGAAUUGACGGGCGGUGUGUACAAGCGGUGGAGCAUGUGGUUUAAUUCGAUGCAACGCGAAGAACCUUACCUACUCUUGACAUCCAGAGAACUUUCCAGAGAUGGAUUGGUGCCUUCGGGAACUCUGAGACAGGUGCUGCAUGGCUGUCGUCAGCUCGUGUUGUGAAAUGUUGGGUUAAGUCCCGCAACGAGCGCAACCCUUAUCCUUUGUUGCCAGCGGUUCGGCCGGGAACUCAAAGGAGACUGCCAGUGAUAAACUGGAGGAAGGUGGGGAUGACGUCAAGUCAUCAUGGCCCUUACGAGUAGGGCUACACACGUGCUACAAUGGCGUAUACAAAGAGAAGCGACCUCGCGAGAGCAAGCGGACCUCAUAAAGUACGUCGUAGUCCGGAUUGGAGUCUGCAACUCGACUCCAUGAAGUCGGAAUCGCUAGUAAUCGUAGAUCAGAAUGCUACGGUGAAUACGUUCCCGGGCCUUGUACACACCGCCCGUC
RNAcentral lists this ribosomal RNA (895 nucleotides) under uncultured Staphylococcaceae bacterium. RNAcentral's name for it is "bacterial SSU rRNA". It matches the Rfam family "Bacterial small subunit ribosomal RNA", at positions 505 to 1398 of the family's 1533-position model. The record is from RNAcentral. Lineage: Bacteria; Bacillati; Bacillota; Bacilli; Caryophanales; Staphylococcaceae.